This is a small nuclear RNA of Marmota marmota marmota (Alpine marmot), 107 nucleotides long. The record is from Ensembl. Lineage: Eukaryota; Metazoa; Chordata; Mammalia; Rodentia; Sciuridae.
AUGCUUGCUUCAGCAGCACAUAUACUAAAAUUGAAACAAUACAGAGAAGAUUAGCAUGGCCCCUGCACAAAGAUGACAAGCAAAUUCAUGAAGUAUUUCACAUAAAA